Long non-coding RNA from Neofelis nebulosa (Clouded leopard), 560 nucleotides. RefSeq lists it as uncharacterized. The record is from RefSeq and is a predicted model, not a curated record. The transcript has 2 exons. NCBI's taxonomy places the organism in Eukaryota, Metazoa, Chordata, Mammalia, Carnivora, Felidae.
UGCUGUCAGCACAGAGCUCAAGGCAGGAAUUGAAGACACAAGCCACAAGGUCAUGACCUGAGCAGGGCUCGAGUCAGACGCUUAACUGACUGAGCCACCCAGGCAUUCCUGUCUCUCUUAAUCCAUACAGAAAACUCUAGUGUGUGUGUGGGGGGGGGGGGGGGGGGGCGGGCAAUGUCUCCCCAGAUUUGGCCAUUAACAAGAAGACACUAGAACACUGGACAGUGUCAAAUUCAGAGUCCCAGAAGGUGGCCUCUCAUGGGCUCAGUAAAAGGUUGGUUCAAGAAACGGCGGGCUUUAUGAUUAACAGGAAGGACCUCAACUGCAAGGCAGUCUAUGCCGGUUACUCAGCCUGUGAUACCUGUGGCUCGCUCUUCCCCUUCCUGCUUUAUCGACUUCCAAAGAUUUUACUGGGAGAUGAAGCUAUGGCAGGGACCGUUCGGCUGGGGAUGGAAGCCUCUCAGCCAGACCACUAGCAGGCUCCCUCAGCGACAACAACAACAGAAAGAACUCACGAUGAAGGCCACCAAGUUCUGAUAAAUAAAAAUUACAUACAGUCA